AUUAUAUUAUUAAUGUUUGAAGCUCAUUGAUGGAAUGAGGAGCAAGACUGAGAAAUUUAAUAUAUCUAUAUAUUUUUCUUGAAUUCUACAGCACCCCUGUGACUGGAAAUUGAGAAAGAUCUUGAAGGAGUUUGCCAAUGUGGGGGGGAAAGCUGUUGAAUGAUUCAUUUGCAGGUAUAACAGAGGUUGUCCUAUUGGAGUCCCUCUCUCAAUUAGACACAUCAUCUCCUGUGGAUUUCAAUGGCCUUUUGCCUAUAGAUUUGCCAAGACCUCCUAAUGCCUUCAGAGGAAUUCGAAAGAAGACUUCCUCCUUCAAGCGAUGGCUUACCAUAUAUGUGCAGGUGACUCAAUAACGUGAGUACAACCACAGGGUGUUGUAUGAUAUUAGUAUAUCGCUUUUUUUCUUUUAGUCUGAGUUUGAUAUCUUGUUCUGACACGGUGAAGCAGGGAUGGGAGAUAUAGAGUGAUCAUCAAUUUCUUGUGGCAUUACCUUGGAGAUUUGUACUAUAUCUUGUAUUUAUGAACAAAAAUAUUAGAAAUGAAACUUUUAUCUACAUGUAAA
Molecule: long non-coding RNA, 562 nt
Organism: Beta vulgaris subsp. vulgaris (sugar beet)
Lineage: Eukaryota; Viridiplantae; Streptophyta; Magnoliopsida; Caryophyllales; Amaranthaceae
Exons: 2
Source: RefSeq, a predicted model, not a curated record